GACGAACGCUGGCGGCGUGCUUAACACAUGCCAGUCGAACGGUAAGGCUCCAGCUUGCUGGGGUACACGAGUGGCGAACGGGUGAGUAACACGUGGGUGACCUGCCCUGCACUUCGGGAUAAGCCUGGGAAACUGGGUCUAAUACCGGUUAGGACCGCACCGUGAGGGUGUGGUGGAAAGUUUUUUCGGUGUGGGAUGGGCCCGCGGCCUAUCAGCUUGUUGGUGGGGUAAUGGCCUACCAAGGCGGCGACGGGUAGCCGGCCUGAGAGGGUGGACGGCCACAUUGGGACUGAGACACGGCCCAGACUCCUACGGGAGGCAGCAGUGGGGAAUAUUGCACAAUGGGCGGAAGCCUGAUGCAGCGACGCCGCGUGGGGGAUGACGGCCUUCGGGUUGUAAACUCCUUUCACCAUCGACGAAGGGUUUCUGACGGUAGAUGGAGAAGAAGCACCGGCUAACUACGUG
Molecule: ribosomal RNA, 465 nt
Filed under: uncultured bacterium
Lineage: Bacteria
Description: partial 16S ribosomal RNA
Rfam family: Bacterial small subunit ribosomal RNA
Source: RNAcentral